GGCUCAUGUGAUGACGUUCAGCACAUGUCGUGUCCCAAAAGUGAUCUGUUUUGUUGUUCGCCCAAUAAUUUUAAACAUGCACAGAAACCCUUUCCCUCCUAAUCCGUAUAUGCAGUCGCCACCAUUUCAGAGAGGUAAUGGACAUGCACAAGGAAACGCGCCGAGAUUUUAUAGUGGGCCUCAGCAACAACACUCACCGUUCAGUUCCCGCGGAGCUGGCAUAGGAAAUCGAGGUUUUUCUCACCGCGGGACGCGACCUGACUGGUCACGCUCUCCAUCGCAACAACAGCAUCCGAGUUCUCCUCUACAUAACACCGGAUCUCCUCUACAUAACACCGGAUCUUCAGACUUUAUUCCGUUAACCUCUACUCCACGACACAGCAGUCCUUAUGCAAGUCCCUAUUCAAAUCAAAGUGCGUAUCAACCCCAGUUCCCAGCAAGAGGCCGAUUUAAAAAUCGAAUGAGCAGUCCUGCUAAUGGCGAACAUGGAUUUAGAAGACAAAAUCAGAGUUUUGGACGUGGGAAUUCAUCAGGAUCAGAUUGCAACCCAGGAGGGAGUAGUAACAUUCAGAACUAUUACCAUCCUUCUAUGUUGGAAGAUCCAUGGGCUAACCUCACGCCAUCCGCUUCUUGUCAAGGGCAGUAGUCUUUAUAGUACUAACUAUAUUGACACUGUCAUCCUGUAACUGCCUGUAUAUAUAUACAUUUUCAAUUUUUUUAAGAAAAAAUAUUUAAAACUCGUGAUCAGUGAACUACAAUUUUGUUUUUUAGACUGAAAAUAAUAAUUUUUUUUAAACUAUCACUCGUUUUUAAAGUGGGUAAUUAGUGUGGGCAUGCUGAUAUGAAUGUAGUUAUAGAUUAAACAUGAAAUUGGUGGGGCAGUGAUCUUAGGGUGUGGAAUUAAAUUGACAAGAAAAAAACAAAGUGAUAAAUGAGCUCAUGAAUUAGAUAUCAGGAUAUGGCACAAAAUUUUGAAAGUUAUGCCAGUGGUUUCUCUAAACUUAAUCAAUUAACUUAUUUCUCCUCGCAUAACCAUAAAUCAUGAAAUAUUACUGCAAGUCACCUUGGCAUAGAAAUUCGUGUUAAUUGUUGUAGAAAUCUAGUAGAGGCAAUGUGGAAUUGUAAUAUUGUAUAUUUUCCUAAUUGAAGUCUAAAUUUGUUCUUAUGACAUAUACCUGUACAUACUUUUCUUGGUCAAAGGGAUUGCAUGUGUACACUACCACAAUUAGUGAUUAGUAAGUCAUGGGACACGUAUCUUGUAUAUUUCAGUAGAGUAAAAGAUUUCAUACUGUUUCGUAAAUGUACAGUGCGUUGAUCACUACCAAGACUAGUUAGAAUGUUAGGUAAUUAGUAAACAGGUUUCCAGUAAUGAUUACAAAUUAGAGUUAUCGUCAAUUGUACUAUUACCAAUAACGUUUUUAAACAGUUCAGUGUGGUAGCCUGGUGUGUAGAGUAUGGUACUCAGGACGUGUGUUUGUGUAGUUGAAUCGACAGUUAUAAUAAAACUACAGGGUGUAAUAAAUUUAAACUUAAGGCGCUCAUUUGUAUACUGUUUGGAAUGACAUUUAUAAGUACUAAUGUAGUCAGGAGUAAAUGUUGUCUAGACUAAGAUACCUAGGUGUUUUCUCAGUAUAAUGAUAAAAUGUAAGAAUGAAUAUACCCAACAGUUUCCACAUUUCUGCUUAUUUUUUCUAGAUGCCAUCAUUAUGGUGUUUAUUUAUAUUAUUUACACAGAACAAUUUUGAGUAGUAUAACGUUUAGUAUUCAAUGUAUAAGUUUCAAAUAAAUAAUACUACCAUUUUCACA
This 1806-nucleotide long non-coding RNA is filed under the name Priapulus caudatus. RNAcentral describes it as "uncharacterized LOC106806713". The record is from RNAcentral. Lineage: Eukaryota; Metazoa; Priapulida; Priapulimorpha; Priapulimorphida; Priapulidae.